GGAAAGGUGGCAGAGUGGUUAAAUGCACCAAUUUUGAAAAUUGACGUGGCUUCGCGGUCACCGAGGGUUCGAAUCCCUCCCUUUCCG
Molecule: transfer RNA, 87 nt
Filed under: Edaphochlamys debaryana
Lineage: Eukaryota; Viridiplantae; Chlorophyta; Chlorophyceae; Chlamydomonadales
Description: tRNA-Ser
Rfam family: tRNA
About the family: Transfer RNA (tRNA) molecules are approximately 80 nucleotides in length.
Source: RNAcentral